Molecule: ribosomal RNA, 238 nt
Filed under: uncultured bacterium
Lineage: Bacteria
Description: partial 16S ribosomal RNA
Rfam family: Bacterial small subunit ribosomal RNA
Source: RNAcentral
UGGCGGACGGGUGAGUAACGCGUGGGUAACCUGCCUUGUACUGGGGGACAACAGUUAGAAAUGACCGCUAAUACCGCAUAAGCGCACAGUAUCGCAUGAUACAGUGUGAAAAACUCCGGUGGUACAAGAUGGACCCGCGUCUGAUUAGCUAGUUGGUAAGGUAACGGCUUACCAAGGCGACGAUCAGUAGCCGACCUGAGAGGGUGACCGGCCACAUUGGGACUGAGACACGGCCCAA